RNAcentral lists this ribosomal RNA (1247 nucleotides) under Chickpea phyllody phytoplasma. Its description in RNAcentral is "bacterial SSU rRNA". It matches the Rfam family "Bacterial small subunit ribosomal RNA", at positions 153 to 1399 of the family's 1533-position model. Lineage: Bacteria; Bacillati; Mycoplasmatota; Mollicutes; Acholeplasmatales; Acholeplasmataceae. The record is from RNAcentral.
GAAACGACUGCUAAGACUGGAUAGGAAGAUAAAAGGCAUCUUUUAUCUUUUAAAAGACCUAGUAAUAGGUAUGCUUUAGGAGGGGCUUGCGCCAUAUUAGUUAGUUGGUAGGGUAAUGGCCUACCAAGACGAUGAUGUGUAGCUGGACUGAGAGGUUGAACAGCCACAUUGGGACUGAGACACGGCCCAAACUCCUACGGGAGGCAGCAGUAGGGAAUUUUCGGCAAUGGAGGAAACUCUGACCGAGCAACGCCGCGUGAAUGACGAAGUACUUCGGUAUGUAAAGUUCUUUUAUCAAGGAAGAAAAGCAAAUGGCGAACCAUUUGUUUGCCGGUACUUGAUGAAUAAGCCCCGGCUAAUUAUGUGCCAGCAGCCGCGGUAAGACAUAAGGGGCAAGUGUUAUCCGGAAUUAUUGGGCGUAAAGGGUGCGUAGGCGGUCUAGUAAGUCAGUGGUGUAAUGGCAACGCUUAACGUUGUCCGGCUAUUGAAACUGCUAAACUUGAGUUAGAUAGAGGCGAGUGGAAUUCCAUGUGUAGCGGUAAAAUGCGUAAAUAUAUGGAGGAACACCAGAGGCGUAGGCGGCUCGCUGGGUCUUAACUGACGCUGAGGCACGAAAGCGUGGGGAGCAAACAGGAUUAGAUACCCUGGUAGUCCACGCCGUAAACGAUGAGUACUAAGUGUCGGGUUAAACCGGUACUGAAGUUAACACAUUAAGUACUCCGCCUGAGUAGUACGUACGCAAGUAUGAAACUUAAAGGAAUUGACGGGACUCCGCACAAGCGGUGGAUCAUGUUGUUUAAUUCGAAGAUACCCGAAAAACCUUACCAGGUCUUGACAUGUUUUUGCAAAAUGAUAGUAAUAUCGUGGAGGUUACCAGAAACACAGGUGGUGCAUGGUUGUCGUCAGCUCGUGUCGUGAGAUGUUAGGUUAAGUCCUAAAACGAGCGAAACCCUUAUCGUUAGUUGCCAGCACGUUAUGGUGGGGACUUUAACGAGACUGCCAAUGAUAAAUUGGAGGAAGGUGAGGAUCACGUCAAAUCAGCAUGCCCCUUAUGACCUGGGCUACAAACGUGAUACAAUGGCUGAUACAAAGGGUAGCUGAAACGCAAGUUCUUGGCCAAUCCCCAAAAACAGUCCCAGUCCGGAUUGAAGUCUGCAACUCGACUUCAUGAAGUUGGAAUCGCUAGUAAUCGCGAAUCAGCAUGUCGCGGUGAAUACGUUUUCGGGGUUUGUACACACCGCCCGUCA